RNAcentral lists this ribosomal RNA (492 nucleotides) under uncultured bacterium. Its description in RNAcentral is "partial 16S ribosomal RNA". It matches the Rfam family "Bacterial small subunit ribosomal RNA", at positions 30 to 507 of the family's 1533-position model. The record is from RNAcentral.
AUUGAACGCUGGCGGCAUGCUUUACACAUGCAAGUCGAACGGUAACAGGCCUUCGGGUGCUGACGAGUGGCGAACGGGUGAGUAAUGCAUCGGAACGUGCCCAGAGGUGGGGGAUAACGCAGCGAAAGCUGUGCUAAUACCGCAUGUGAUCUGAGGAUGAAAGCGGGGGACCAGGCAGCAAUGUUUGGCCUCGCGCCUUUGGAGCGGCCGAUGUCAGAUUAGGUAGUUGGUGGGGUAAAGGCCUACCAAGCCGACGAUCUGUAGCUGGUCUGAGAGGACGACCAGCCACACUGGGACUGAGACACGGCCCAGACUCCUACGGGAGGCAGCAGUGGGGAAUUUUGGACAAUGGGCGCAAGCCUGAUCCAGCAAUGCCGCGUGCGGGAAGAAGGCCUUCGGGUUGUAAACCGCUUUUGUACGGAACGAAAAGGCUCUGGCUAAUACCUGGGGCUGAUGACGUUACCGUAAGAAUAAGCACCGGCUAACUACGUG